RNAcentral lists this ribosomal RNA (399 nucleotides) under uncultured bacterium. RNAcentral's name for it is "bacterial SSU rRNA". It matches the Rfam family "Bacterial small subunit ribosomal RNA", at positions 93 to 488 of the family's 1533-position model. The record is from RNAcentral.
GAGUGGCGAACGGGUGAGUAAUGCAUCGGAACGUGCCCAGUCGUGGGGGAUAACGCAGCGAAAGCUGUGCUAAUACCGCAUACGAUCUAUGGAUGAAAGCGGGGGAUCGCAAGACCUCGCGCGAUUGGAGCGGCCGAUGUCAGAUUAGCUAGUUGGUGGGGUAAAGGCCCACCAAGGCGACGAUCUGUAGCUGGUCUGAGAGGACGACCAGCCACACUGGGACUGAGACACGGCCCAGACUCCUACGGGAGGCAGCAGUGGGGAAUUUUGGACAAUGGGCGCAAGCCUGAUCCAGCAAUGCCGCGUGCAGGAAGAAGGCCUUCGGGUUGUAAACUGCUUUUGUACGGAACGAAAAGGUCUGGGUUAAUACCCUGGGCUCAUGGCGGUACCGUAAGAAUA